GACGAACGCUGGCGGCGUGCCUAAUACAUGCAAGUAGAACGCACAGUUUAUACCGUAGCUUGCUACACCAUAAACUGUGAGUUGCGAACGGGUGAGUAACGCGUAGGUAACCUGCCUGGUAGCGGGGGAUAACUAUUGGAAACGAUAGCUAAUACCGCAUAAUAUUGAUUAUUGCAUGAUAAUUGAUUGAAAGAUGCUAUUGCAUCACUACCAGAUGGACCUGCGUUGUAUUAGCUAGUAGGUGAGGUAACGGCUCACCUAGGCGACGAUACAUAGCCGACCGGGGAGGGUGAUCGGCCACACUGGGACUGAGACACGGCCCAGACUCCUACGGGAGGCAGCAGUAGGGAAUCUUCGGCAAUGGACGAAAGUCUGACCGAGCAACGCCGCGUGAGUGAAGAAGGUUUUCGGAUCGUAAAGCUCUGUUGUAAGAGAAGAACGGGUGUGAGAGUGGAAAGUUCACACUGUGACGGUAUCUUACCAGAAAGGGACGGCUAACUACGUG
Molecule: ribosomal RNA, 505 nt
Filed under: uncultured bacterium
Lineage: Bacteria
Description: partial 16S ribosomal RNA
Rfam family: Bacterial small subunit ribosomal RNA
Source: RNAcentral